GUCUACGGCCAUGCUACCCUGAACGAGCCCGAUUCCGUCUGAUCUCGGAACCUAAGCAGGGUUGGGCCUGGUUAGUAUUUGGAUGGGAGACGACCUAGGAAGACCAGGUACUGUAGGCA
RNAcentral lists this ribosomal RNA (119 nucleotides) under Pteropus alecto (black flying fox). Lineage: Eukaryota; Metazoa; Chordata; Mammalia; Chiroptera; Pteropodidae. The record is from RNAcentral.